This is a non-coding RNA of Oryctolagus cuniculus (rabbit), 4549 nucleotides long. The record is from RefSeq and is a predicted model, not a curated record. Lineage: Eukaryota; Metazoa; Chordata; Mammalia; Lagomorpha; Leporidae.
GCUGCUGCAGGGCGGGCGCUCGGACCGCGGGGCUGCGGCCGGCCCCCCGCGGGACGGGACCGAGGGGCGACCCCAGGGCCACCGCGGCGGAGCCCAGGCCGAGCAUGUGUGCAUUUGCACCUACCUGUUAGGGUGUGUGUGUGCACACCUAGCUGCUGUUUUACAUGCACGUGUAGCUGCAUGUAGCGCAGAUGUAGGGCGCGUGUGCCUCCAACAUGUCAGCAGACACAGGUCUCGGAUCCAGACACAGAUCGCCUCAGCUGGCAUGCUUUUCUGUGCGAUCGUUUGCCUUUGGCCUUGAGUCACUGCUUGAAGUGGAGCCACUCCCCACUAACACUGCUCAGACCUCCAGUGAAGCUCACCCCUCCUCCUCCCCCGGCAAAGCAGCAUUGUGCUCAAGUCUGAAUCUUUUCACCUUGUACAAGCCGUGAGCCUCACUGAGCUUCCCAUCCCAGACCUGUGAGCUGGCGAGUUAAAUAACGUGCUGCGCAAGUGCAAGGUGCACUCUGCCCUGCUUGGGGAACAAAACGUGGCCCCAUCCUUCUCCGUUCCAGCCCCAAGGGCCAGCGACUGCCCUUGGACGAGGGCCAGCACCUGCUCGUGCACCAGGCGGAGCUGAAAUGACCUUUCAGGUGAGCCUUAGAGAGUUCCGGCCCAAGUGCUUCAGAUCCUGGAAGUGCAAGGUCAACCUCUCCUGUGCACGGAUGGGAGCGUGGUUUCCAGUCACACAAUGCGCAGCCCUUGUGGGUGGCAGACAGCGGCUUGUUUGUCCCACAUCUGCUCCCUGGCUUCCCAGGGGAGUCACGUGUUUCCCUUACCACCUUCUCAUUUAGGAGCUGAUUAUGUGAAUGUUCUCGUGUUGUCUGCGACGCCUGGAAAGAGUGUUGAACAUGGCCUCUUCCCAGGUCUGUGUGUGACAGGCGGUGACGUGCAAAGGGAGCCAGAGGCCCAGAAAGAGAACAGCAUAAGGUGGCAAAGUCCGUGGAGCCACGGCUACUGAUGCUGACCUGCCCUUGACCUGACGGAAGGUUGGGAGGAAACCUUCAUUAAAAGGUAGCAAAACCACAUUUUGUGAGCCAUGAGCAGAUCCCCUCCUAAUCCAUUCUCACACUUGAAGCAGAAAACCGUCUCACAUUUUCGCCCCUCCAUUUUCAUUUGCACCUGCUCCCCUCCAGGCCGCCUCCCAGAGGCCUGUGCUGCUAAUAGGACUGGCGGUGUUCACACACAGACUGCGAGGAAGCCCCGAGGGGCCUACAGUCAUUUCCACCAGUGAACACUGGGGAGAACUAGACCCGCGCGAGGGAGGAAAGAUCACAGACCACCUUUCACCGACCAGCGAAGGGAGGACAAACAGGAAGCUUGGCCAACAGACAGCAGAACAGAGAAGCCAAUGGCUCAGAGGAAGGAGCCCCGGGGCAGAGCCAGACCUCUGCCAUGGCAGAGUCCACGGAACCACGAGACGUCCCUGGAUCUCCCCAUUCACAGAGGAGCAGGCAGUCAGGGGAAUGGCUGUCGCUGGGGACGGCCCAGGGCUUGGAGGCUGCAGAAGCACCAUGGAUCACUCGUUUGAUGCUUCUGAGUGGAACAGAGUGAACCAAGGGACAUCAUUGCAGAGGUGGAAGAGGGAGCUGGCAAAUCAGAUGCUACACAGGAAAGUAAGCUGGGGCCCGCACUAUGGCGUAGUGGGUUAAGCCACUGCCUGCAGUGCUGGCAUUCCAUACGGGCAAUGGUUCAAGUUCCGGCUGCUUUACUUCCAAUCCAGCUCUCUGCUGUGGCCUGGGAAAGCAGUAGAAGAUGGCCCAAGUCCUUGGGCCCCUGCACACACAUGGGAGACCUGGAAGAAGCUCCUGGCUCCUGGCUUUGAAUUGGCGCAGCUCCGGCCGCUGGGAGUGAACCAGUGGAUGGAAAACCUCUCUGUCUCUGUCUUUCUCUCUCUCUGUAACUCUGACUUUCAAAUAAAUAAAUAAAUCUUAAAAGAAAGAAAGAAAGAAAGAGAGAGAGAGAGAAAGAAAGGAAGGAAGGAAGGAAGGAAGGAAGGAAGGAAGGAAGAAAGAAAGAAAGAAAAUGGGGACACUUGGAGGUAGAAAGCAGGGGGACAGGCUCCCUAGAGGCCAGCAUGAUCGGGGCCUGGUCUCCAGCCCUGGCCUGGUUAUUAACACUGCUGACACCCACGGCCCCUGAUCCUCCUCCACCCGCAGUGGAAAUGAAGGAAUGAAGUGACAGCCUGGACGACCGGCGGCCUCCCGGACAACCAGAGGCUCGGGCAGCAGUUACAGAGGGUGGAUCCGACACCUGGGGGUCACCCCUCGUGCAUGGGGUAUGCGGCCACCACGGAGAGGGAAGCCUGGUGCAGGACACUGAACAACAGCUCAGAGCUGAGCAAGUAAAAGCUGGAUCCACUAAAGGAAGCUGCCCUCAGCCCUGCUUCCCCUUGGGCUUCCGGCCAACAGGGCGCAACACUGAGUUAGCAAACUGGCAUCCGAGACAGAAAGGCAAACGGAACUCACAGGAGUAGGCCAAGAGCCAAGAAUACGCUAGCACGUCAGGAAGAAUGGAGGAGUGGACAGAGCUGUCGGAGCCAUGAGCAGGCCAGAUGGGAAGAGAUGGUCUGACAACCACACAGCUGAGCUGCAGAAACAGAAGUGGGAGAAAGGCACACCCCGCAAAAAACACAUGACUCCAUGAGAAUGCUCCUGAAGACAGACCUUAAUCAGGAAGUGAAUUCUGUGUAAGAAGGGCUCAGAGACAGUCUUAGGAAACAGCAAAAGUAGGUGGAAAGGGCAAAACCAAAGAAAGGGAUGGGGGCCACAAACUCGCCAUUUCCUAACCAGAACGUCCGACGCAGAGCAGACACGGCACAGGCCCGAGGGCCAUUCCCAAGACAAAGCGGGCAGUGACAAGAAGGGAAGUCCCCAGGGCCAUGACGCUCGCAGCACAUGAGAGAGCCUGCUCGCAGCGCGGGACAAAGAAUCUGACUCCCUUCUGCUGCUCCACGCUGGGCAGGGGGUUGGGGAAGCCCAGGGGCGCCCGCUGUGACACUGGUGAGACAUUCAAACCGCAUCGGCCUCUUACCGCAUGGGGACGCCUCGUCCUGGACCCACCCCAAGCCAGGUGCCCUUCCCCACGUUCCCAGGACAUCUGGGGUCUGCUUGGGAGCCUGCUUGCUCCCCUGGAAAGCCUCGUCAGAUGCGUAAGAAAUCCUGUUACACCUCUCCACUGUGUGUGCGGCACCAUCAGACUAGACAGGGAAGGCAGUAAUUAACGGAGGACAAUUUCCCCACAACGUUGAAAAAAAAGAAUCUGUAGUUGAAUAAGUUGUUUUCCAGAAAAACUGAUACAGAAUGAUGACACUGGGACAAAUUCUGCUAAAGCCGUCAAAUUCCAAGGGUAAAGGAAAACUUCCAGCAGUCAGGUGGGAAAAGCAAGCCACACACAGGAGGCAGAGGUCAGCCGCUCUCAGCCUUGUCCACAGUGGUAUCCAGGAAGUUCAGAGACAAGGGGACAAUGUCCAGACAAGGUGCUUCUCCAUUACUAAGGCACGAGUCAGGCAACGUUCAGCAUGACUGCACUCACAGUCUUCAUGAGCUUUUUAGAGAGCUGAAAACAAGCCGGGGCCAGCGCUGUGGCGCAGCAGGUUAACACCCUGGUCUGAAGCUCCAGCAUCUCAUGUGGGCGCCGGUUCGAGACCUGGCUGCUCCAGUUCCCAUCCAGCUCUCCACUAUGGCCUGGGAAAGCAGUAAAAGAUGGCCCAAGGACCAUGCAUGGAAGACCCGGAAGAAGCUCCUGGCUCCUGGCUUCAGAUCAGCGCGGCUCUAGCUGUUGCGGCCAAUUGGGAAGUGAACCAUCAGAUGGAAGACCUCUCUCUCUCUCUCUCUGCCUGUCCUCUCUCUGUGUAACUCUGACUUUCAAAUAAAAAUAAAUCUUUAUAAAAAAAAAGAAAACAAGCCAACAAAUAAAUAAAAAUAGAGGCUGACAUUGUGAUGCAGUAGGUUAAGCUGCUGCUUGCAACACCACAAUCCCGUAUCAGAGUGCCAGUCCAAGUCCUGGCUGCUCCAGUUCUGAUGCAUCUUUCUGCCCAUGUGCCUGGGAAAGCAGAUGAUGGCCCAAGUACUUGGGCCCCCAUCACCCUCAUGGGAGACCCAGAUGGAGUUCCUGGCUCCUGGCUUCACCCUGAGCCAAUCCCAGCUAUUCUAGCCAUUUGGGGAGUGAACGAGGAGACAGAAGCUAGCUAGCUCACUCUCUUUCUCUCUCUAUCACUUUGCCUUUCAAAUAAAUGAUUCCUUUAGAAAGAAAGAAAGAGGCGGGCAGUGUCGUGGCAGAGCAGGUUAAGCCACCACCUAUGACACCAGCAUUCCAUAUGGGCACUGGUUCGUGUCCCAGCCCCUAUUUCCAACACUGCUCCCGGCUAAUAGGCCUGGGAAAGCAGUGGAGGAAGGCCCAAGUCUUUGGGUCCUUGCACAUCGGAGACACAGAUGAAGCUCCUGGUCCCAGUCAUUGUGGCCAUUUGGGGAGUGAACCAGCAGAUGGAAGAUCUCUGUUUCUCUCUCUC